AACGCAAAUUGCACUCUCCGGUUUUCCGGGAGAGUAUGCCUGUUUGAGGGUCUGUUUAAAAAACAAUCGAGGCUGCUGCUGUGUGGUGGCGCCUCGGAAUUGGGUCACCUUCCACCUUUCGGGGUUGCAAGCGACUUAAAAUUUUUUUUACGAUUUCGAUGAGCGUGUUUAAGGAUACUCCUAUACGUUCAUGAUAUCGAAAUUCCCUAUUAGGGGUGACCGCCGCGUCGGUUUCACUCCUAUAAUUAUCAUCAAAGGACCUCAGACAGGUAAGAUUACCCGCUGAACUUAA
This 292-nucleotide unclassified non-coding RNA is filed under the name uncultured soil eukaryote. RNAcentral describes it as "sequence contains 5.8S rRNA gene, ITS2, 28S rRNA gene". The record is from RNAcentral.